GGGGAAUAUUGGACAAUGGGCGAAAGCCUGAUCCAGCCAUGCCGCGUGUGUGAAGAAGGUCUUCGGAUUGUAAAGCACUUUAAGUUGGGAGGAAAAAAAGACGGUACCCAAGAAGCACGUCCCGGCUAACUACGUGCCAGCAGCCGCGGUAAUACGUAGGGGACAAGCGUUGUCCGGAUUUACUGGGCGUAAAGGGCACGCAGGCGGUUUUUUAAGUCAGAUGUGAAAGGUACCGGCUCAACCGGUGACAUGCAUUUGAAACUGAAAGACUUGAGUAUUGGAGAGGCAAGUGGAAUUCCUAGUGUAGCGGUGAAAUGCGUAGAUAUUAGGAGGAACACCGGUGGCGAAGGCGGCUUGCUGGACAAAUACUGACGCUGAGGUGCGAAAGCGUGGGGAGCAAACA
This 403-nucleotide ribosomal RNA is filed under the name uncultured Acetobacterium sp. Its description in RNAcentral is "bacterial SSU rRNA". It matches the Rfam family "Bacterial small subunit ribosomal RNA", at positions 356 to 774 of the family's 1533-position model. The record is from RNAcentral. Lineage: Bacteria; Bacillati; Bacillota; Clostridia; Eubacteriales; Eubacteriaceae.